CAGUAGCCGCGGGAAUACGAAGGGGGCGAGCGUUGCUCGGAAUGACUGGGCGUAAAGGGCGCGUAGGUGGCGUGCACAGUCAGAUGUGAAAUUCCUGGGCUCAACCUGGGGGCUGCAUUUGAUACGUGCGUGCUAGAGUGUGGAAGAGGGUCGUGGAAUUCCCAGUGUAGAGGUGAAAUUCGUAGGUAUUGGGAAGAACACCGGUGGCGAAGGCGGCGACCUGGUCCAUUACUGACGCUGAGGCGCGAAAGCGUGGGGAGCAAACAGGAUUAGAGACCCCGGUAGUCCCUGUCUCUUAUAC
RNAcentral lists this ribosomal RNA (301 nucleotides) under uncultured bacterium. RNAcentral's name for it is "partial 16S ribosomal RNA". It matches the Rfam family "Bacterial small subunit ribosomal RNA", at positions 509 to 807 of the family's 1533-position model. The record is from RNAcentral.